GACGAACGCUGGCGGCGUGCUUAACACAUGCAAGUCGAACGGAAAGGCCCUGCUUUUGUGGGGUGCUCGAGUGGCGAACGGGUGAGUAACACGUGAGUAACCUGCCCUGCACUUUGGGAUAACUUCAGGAAACUGGGGCUAAUACCGGAUAGGAGCGCCUGCUGCAUGGUGGGGGUUGGAAAGUUUCGGCGGUUGGGGAUGGACGCGCGGCUUCACAGCUUUUGGGUGGGGUAGUGGCUUACCAAGGCUUUGACGGGUAGCCGGCCUGGGAGGGUGACCGGCAACAUUGGGACUGGGAUACGGCCCAGACUCCACCGGGAGGCAGCAGUGGGGAAUAUUGCCCAAUGGGCGGAAGCCGAUUGCAGCACGGCCGCGUGCGGGAUGACGGCUUUCGGUUUGUAAACCGCUUUCGCCUGUGACGAAGCGUAAGUGACGGUAAUGGGUAAAGAAGCACCGGCUAACUACGUG
This 468-nucleotide ribosomal RNA is filed under the name uncultured bacterium. Its description in RNAcentral is "partial 16S ribosomal RNA". It matches the Rfam family "Bacterial small subunit ribosomal RNA", at positions 28 to 507 of the family's 1533-position model. The record is from RNAcentral.